GGCAAGAUAGUUUAAGUUGGAGAAUGCCUAUUUUACACGUAGGGGGUGAGUUUUAUUCUGUUGCUA
RNAcentral lists this transfer RNA (66 nucleotides) under Opisthorchis viverrini. RNAcentral's name for it is "tRNA-Val". Lineage: Eukaryota; Metazoa; Platyhelminthes; Trematoda; Opisthorchiida; Opisthorchiidae. The record is from RNAcentral.